This 14702-nucleotide long non-coding RNA is filed under the name Trifolium pratense (red clover). Its description in RNAcentral is "long non-coding RNA (TPRA_LNC001353)". Lineage: Eukaryota; Viridiplantae; Streptophyta; Magnoliopsida; Fabales; Fabaceae. The record is from RNAcentral.
CUAUCAUUUUCUGUGAGUGUGACAAGUUUACGUUGAUGAUAUUUUGCAACAGCCCAAUGAUGGAGAUAGGUUUCAUGCAGAGGUAUAGGAUUACCAGCUUCAUCAACUACUUCAGCAUCGAAACUCUUGAGUGCUACAUGACCUCUUGGAAAAUCAAUAUCAUAAUAAUAUCUAUUGCUAACUGAUCCAGGUCCUAGCUCAAAUUUAGGGGACAAAAAAACAGCUGAUUUUAUCUUAGCUUCAGUCUUCACAAAAGAACUUGAGCAUGGUGUGCUCAACAACAGCACAAGUAUUGACAGUGAAAAUACCAACUCUCUAGGUACAAACCACAUAUUGAUCUGUCAGACAAAUGUUUAUCAGUAAUUAGUAACUAAUUAUUGAGUAAAAGGAUAUUAAACAGCAGAUUAUGAAAAAUGUAUUGUCUUCAUCAAACUCACUUACAUGUCAGUACAAUAAUAUUCUGCAAUUAAAUGGCGGUCCAGUGGGCCAGAUACUGGUGGUGAAAACCAAAAAAUAUAAAUGAGUCUAAUAAUCAAAAGGUAAAUAUUGCAAAGUAGUGUCUUCUUAGGAAACCUCUGAAGAAUUGAAUUAAGAUACAAAGUAAACAAGCAUGAACAGAGUUUGCAAAUUGCACAGCAAAGGGCAAGAGAAUAUAAUGUGAGAUCCAUUCACCAAAUAAACUACACAAAUAAGCAUGAAAAAGAAUAGUUUGAACACAAUCAUGAUCAAGGUUUUAAAUCACAGUCAUGUUAUGAUGCAGCUAAAUACUGUUGAUGCAAGCAGCUUCAAUUGCAAUCACAACAGACAUUAAAAAAAAUAAUGUUAUGAUUAGAAUUGUUGUCACAGAACAGAACUUUUUUUUUUUUACUAACAGAACAGAACAUUUUAGAAACCUUAAUUAUAACAUAAACUGAUGACCUAUGAAGCCAAAAUACUUGAUACGAUACGGAUACGACACGGAUAUAGCGAUACCGUAAAAUCUGAAGAUUUAAGAUACUACAUAGCCAAGAUACUUUAAUAAAAAGUUAAAUUAAAAUAAAAUAUUCACUACUUAAGUGAAUCCGAAGGAGCCCAAAGUAUGAACAUUUCUCAACCCGCGCCUACCCACUUUCUCACCCACCUCUGGAAAUUCCAUUUUUGCCCUUAGUCAAAAAAUUCGGAAUGUGUUUUCCUAUGGAAAAACAGGGGGUGGGUGAGAAAGUGGGUAGAUCACACCAAAAUUAAGAUAUUGGAUCAUUUGAAACAGACAUGAAUUGCAAAACUAUAAAUUUUGAGGAACAUAAAGAAACAAUAUGAAACAUCAACAUGUGUAAGAGAUUGCGUACCUGGAAAAGAUUGACGAGAAAGUUAGAGUGUUUCGAAUUUCGAUAUGAAUGAAAGUAGAUUGAUUCGGUUAUUUAUAGAUGAAGACGAAAUAAAAAUGAACGUGUUGAGAACCGGCCACGUGAGAAAUUGAGAACGUUUUUCACAACCUUUCAUUUUUAUAUUUUUUAUUUUUUAUCAAAAGUGGCUAAAAGUGAAACAACAACAACAAGAAACAAAAAAAAGUCACAGCCUUUCAUUUCAUUUCACACUCGAGAGUCGAGAUGGAAAGUUUUCAGUCCUAAUUAGAAACUCGUAUUCAUUUGGUUCUUUCUUCAUUUGGAUUCGAGACAAAUAUUUUAUGGGGAUCCGUAUAAUCUGAUUUGGAGGUCCGUUCUAACAUUAAGUGGUUUCAGCCCCUCUGAUAGCAGUUGUGUGGAUGGAACUGUGGUCCUCCUACCAAAUCUGGCGCCAAAAUGAUUAAUAUUUGUAAGUUCAAUUUUGAACAACUUUAGAAACAACUUUAUUAUUUUCUCCCUCCCUCCUGUCUUUCUUUAUUAUUUUUGUCCUGAAGGGAAAAUAUUAUGGAACAAUUGUUUAUUUGAGUCAUCUAACAUGAUUUCCCCCUUUUAACUGAUCUCAGUAUUUGCUUUAGAUAACAUGGUUAAGCAAAGCUGAGCUGUAGGAAUCGAAUGAAUAGUUAUUUAAGGACCAAAGGUAUCAAAUUCAAAUCCAUCAUUGUAGUGCAAAAAAUGAAGGUACGUAAUGUAUAUUAUAUAAUUCAUAACCCCCAUCAUAUUGUUACUUCCUCUAUUGUUAAUUUGGAAAAUGAACAUGCACCUUGAAUUCAAUAUCAGGUCAUCCCAUAAAAUGUCUCUAUGUAACUGAGGAAGUAACAACGGCUAGAGACUAGAGUUGAGACGAAGUUGCAACCGGAGGGCGCAGCAAUGAUAGAGCUGUGAAUGACGAUGCGGAGGCGGCCGAUGAAGAAAUGGCGGUGAGGAGUCGAUGGAAAAGGAAGCGAAUGCGUUCNNNNAGACAACUGACUUGUUCCGUAAGGAAGCCACACCUGUGGGGAACCUAUGCUUGUUCCGUAGGAACUUUACAAGUUUGUUUUAAGAGAGAAGAUCUUUUAAUUAAGCAACUUCANNNNNNNNNNNNNNNNNNNNNNNNNNNNNNNNNNNNNNNNNNNNNNNNNNNNNNNNNNNNNNNNNNNNNNNNNNNNNNNNNNNNNNNNNNNNNNNNNNNNNNNNNNNNNNNNNNNNNNNNNNNNNNNNNNNNNNNUAGGAACUUUACAAGUUUGUUUUAAGAGAGAAGAUCUUUUAAUUAAGCAACUUCAUAACAUAAGCAACAUUAGCUAACUCACAAUUCCUAAUUUUAAACCAAACAUGGUUUGUCCAUAUCCAUUGCCUAAAAUUUGUGAUGUGUAACAUCAAAAUAAAUAAAAAUGGCUAAUGAGUUAUAAGUAUUCUAAUGAAUAAGAUAUAUUCUUCAUAAUAAAUGGAAAUCCCAUAUUUUAGGCAUAUCAAUAUGCUACAUUGUACAACAAACAUAUCACAUAUCACAUAGCCAUAUCCAUAUCCAUAUGAUACAAGAAAGAGUGGAUGAAUCCAAAAAUACAAACUAAACAAUUACAGGAAACUAGAGCCUAGAGGAUAUGCCCACAUCUUGUUUUUCUCCUAUAGCUAGCUAAAUACAGAUAGAAAGUGUAAUCAUCCAAUUAAACUUUCCAAUCUUGUCUUUAUUCCUCUUGAUCAAUCAUAUAGUAUUUUGAUAUCAUCGAUGCCACUCCAUUUAUAUUUACCAUAUAAUAGUAACUAGUUAUCUAGAAAUAUAUUAUUGACAUCCAUAAAAAAUGAAGAACGGGUAGAAUGUCUGAAGUGUGGGUACGGGAGUUGUUCUGCUACUAAAAGGUAGAAAAGCCCCAUUACUCCAGCGUGUUCCUUGGUGCUAUUGUAGAUAGAUUCUAGAGUUAAAGUUUCACCAUCAAUUAUUUUGACAGAACCUAGUUUAGGAUAACAAGUGGACAUUCCUACAAUGUAUCCUGCUUCAUUUCCGGCAUCAUUUCCAUUUCCAUAAGUUGGUAUAGAUGAACAUAUAACCCUUCCGUCCUGAAAACAUAAUAUCCACAAAUUUCACUACUUUACAAUGUUUAACUUCUUGAUCAAAAUUUAAAGUCGCAGAACAACAACCCUAGUACAAAAGUAAACAUACAAAAAACGUAAACAGAGAACACAUGAUAUUUGAUCAAUUAGACAAUUCCAUAGUUACCUUUGAAUUAAUUCAUACCUGUAAAAAGUGAUAUCUAAAUUGUACAAUUGUUCUAAAAAAGAUUUGAACUCUAUCUAUUAAAGUUACAAAGUUAAAGUCUUACCAUAAUAAUUGUAACUUGUAACUAUUAUAAAUUACCUGUCCAUAUAGAGUUGAUCCAAUUCCACCCGAAUGUUGAUGAGCAACACCAUAUAUCACAUAGCCACCAAUUUGUAGUGGGAGACUUGUCCUCUUCACAUGAACACAACUAUUUGCCUCAUUAUGGUCUGCAUUGCAAGCUUCAACUAUAUAAUCAAUCUGAAACAAAGAAAUAUGUGUUGCUCACUAUAAAAUUCCCAAUAAAGUAAUUUAUUAGUGUUGCAUGUUUUUGAGUCAAAUUGAGAUUGAAACAAAAAAACUAUAAUGGAUUCAUUUACCAAAUGUUUCUUGAUGAAUUCAUUUACCUUGCAAUUAUGGUCUGAAUUCAUUCCUUUUGAAUCAUCUGAUAGUUUCAAAGUAUCAGUCACAUCAAUUAUAUAUAUCUUAACAGGCACUAUAAAAUCAUCCCAAUCAACCCAUUCCACAGUGUAUUUCAGGUAAAGACUUCUCUUUGGACCCUCAAAACCUUCCUUCAACUUACACUGUGUAUGAUCAUAACAACAUACCAAACCUCCUUUAUAAUCUGGCCUAAUAGACCUUCCAUGUGAAUCCACCGUAACAUUAUAAAGCUCGCACUUACAUUCAGUGCACCCUAACUUAUCCUCCACACCGCGUGUAUCAAUUGCAUGAACAUUAACCAACCAUUUCUCCUCGAACCCUUCCGGAAUCUCUGCAGGAUUCCCUAUCUCUAUUCCAAAAGGAUCCGGAAUAUCGGUCGCUGUUCCUCGUGUUUCGGAUCCAAGACCAAAGUAUUGUGGAAGAGUAUUUCCCUGACAUGUGCCACUGUUCCUAACAGUAUUAUUCCACUGCAAGUUUGCUUUACUUUGAUGAUAUCUUACAACAAGCCAAUGAUGGAGAUAAGUUUCAUGAAGAGGUAUAGGAUUACCAGCUUCAUCAACUACUUCAGCAUUGAAACUCUUGAUUGCUACACGACCUCUUGGAAAAUCAAUAUCAUAAUAAAUUCCAUUAACAACUGAUCCAGGUCCUAGCUCAAAUUUGGGGGACAAAAAAACAGCUGAUUUUAUCUUAGCUUUAGUCUUCAGAAUUGAACCUGAGCAUGAUGUGCUCAACAACAGAAGAAGUAUUGCAAGUGAAGAUACAAAAUUUUCAGACAUAAAAGUAGAACACAUGUUGAUCUGUUAGCAAAAGAACACAGUUGGGGUUUGUUUGUUUGUUGAGGAGAAAUUUAGAGUUUGUCGGUAUCAAAUGGUAGAUUUAACUUAUAUUUAUAGAUCAAUGAAUGAAUGAAAGUGAAGUAAUUUAAAAAAAAGUCAUGUUCUGUUGAACCCAUUGGGAUUGGUCGAGUGGUGUUGGCUUGGGCUCUUGGAGUAUGCUCCUCUCAAGGUCUCAGGUUCGAUUCCCACUGGUGCCAAUUUCGGUGAGCUAAGUCCAUACAGAGCAAAAAAAACUCUGGCUUUAAAUGGGGCCCCCGCAAGUGGGCGGUGGAAUUGGUCCCCUUAAAUUAGUCGGUCCUAAGACCGGAUACCAAGUUUUUAAAAAAAAAAGAGUCAUGUUCUGUUGUUUCCUAGUAGGUAACACUCAUCAAUAGGUUCGUUGCAAAAUUUAAGUAUGCACAGGAAAAACGUUUAACUUACUGUGAGAUCUUACACCUCAUGUUGAUAAUUUAAGGAUAUUUAAGUCACUUCAUAUGCAUAUGACAAAUUAUCAAUGGGUCCUAGUUUGACUAGCGAAAACAGUUUCAAAAUCAAACACAAUAUAAUUGAAAUUAUGUUGUCCAGUCUCUUAUUUUUUAGCAGAUUAAAUGCACAAAUUUUACUCCAUCUAAUCUAACCUUAGUUUUGCGAGCUUAAUUAUAACUUAUAAGUAAAUAUUUCACUCAUUUAAUAACCGGUUAAAUACAUCGGUUUUAUUCAAUAAAUCUAUAAAAAAGAAGUGACAAAAUUACACCAUGAGUCAUUUAUCUUAUUUAUUUCUAAUAGAUUUGUCGGGUAUUUUUUUUUUAAAAAAAAAAACUGAUCACCUAUCUUGAUAAAUGUGCACAAUUUAAUCAUUUAUCAUAUUUAUUUGUAAUAUAUUCAUCUAUUAUCUUAUUUAUUUGUAACAUAUUCGUCCUUUAUCUUUUUUUCUUUUCCCACACAUGUCAUUUAUCUUUAUAAAUGUGCACAACUUAAUUUUUUAUCUUAUUUAUUUGUAACAUAAUAAAAUGUUUGAAACAUGGAACAAGGUGUUCUUGCGAUGAAGCACCGACACCUCUAUGAUUAGGCGUGUCGCGAUGUCCGACACGUGUCGGUGUCCGACACACGUAUGACACUCGUACGACACGUGUCGGAUAGCUCAGAUCGGUGUCCAUAAAAACUCAAUUUUUCAAUAAAUAACUUGCUCAACUUAGAUUUACAUGUAUAUAUUUUGACUCUCAAUUUAUAUUUUUUAUAAAUAUGUAGCGGUGUCGGUGUUCUAUAUUUUUUACAAUAGCGGUGUCGCGGCGUCCGUGUCGGUGUCGUGUCGCAGUGUCCGUGUCGGAGUCUGUGCUUCAUAGCUUGCGAGUAUAUUUGGAAAGACACUAAAGGUUGGAUUUUAAAUGUUAGUGGUUAAGUCGAAUGUUGGAUAUACAAGAGAAGUGACUCAUGAACUAAUACCUUAAAGUUUUGUGUAGAGAUACGACGUCUCCCUCUCAUGUGAUCCUGGAGUAUUAACUCAUUGUUACUUUCGACGCUACCUGAACUCUCCAGUAAAUGGUAUCAAAACUGUGGUUCGAUAGUGUUUAUAAAAUUUGAUCACCUCUCUUCUUACAAGCAGAUUUUAUAAGAUCGAAUUAGACUCAAGUUAAAUUCUAACAAAACCCUUUGAUUGUUACUAUUCUCUGCACUCUGCAGAUGUCCUGUUAUUCUUCUGGACUGCCUUAAUCUCAUGACUUGUGUGAGAAUUAACUACAAGAGAAUAGUAAAAAUAUGCUAAUAAUAACAACCAUGGCUUGAAUGUGGUUGAACACUUCUGGCUUGAAUUCAGUAUAAUCUUGAAGGCCGUUCUCUUUAUUUAUUUAGCAAAUCCUUGAAUAUUAAUAUUGGUUACUCCAAGGCUAAUAUUUAGAUAUAAUUUAUCUCAAUUUAAGCCAUUGGAUAUAUCUUUUUUUAACUUCUGAGUCUCGUCAUACAUUACCUGUGUAUAUAUAGUGUAUAUCUAUCUGUCUGAUUUAAGGGGCUAUAAAAUAUUUAUGCCAGGAUCCUGUUUGUUACACUACACAGUAAGAUUACUACAGAUGCNNNNNNNNNNNNNNNNNNNNNNNNNNNNNNNNUUUCAGAUCAGAGAUUAGUUCUAUAAAAAUGUGUUAAUCUAUUACUAUCACUUUCUACCCUUGAGGCCUUGACAAAUGAGUUCAUUCUCACUAUUGAAAUGAGAGGAAGUGACGGGGACCAGAGUUGAGGCGAAGUUACAAACGUAGGGAGCAGCGACGGUUGAGCUAUGAACGAGGAAGCAAAUGUGGGUUCACAAUUUUGCCAAGGGUGGCAGACAACUGACUUGUUCCGUAAGGAAGCCACACCUGUGGCAGGACCCUAUACUUGUUCCAUAGCCACUUUGCAUGUACGUUUCAAGAGAGAAGAUCUUUUAAGCAACUUUAGGACAUAAACAACAUUAGCUACUCACAAUUCCUAAUAUUAAACAUCAAAAUAAAUUUGUGAUGUGUAACAUCAAAAUAAAUAAAAAUGGCUAAUGGGUUAUAAGUGUUCUAAUGAAACAGAAAUAUUCUUCAUAAUAAAUGGAAAUCCCAUUAUUUUAAGCAUAUCAAUAUGCUUUUUAUUUUUUGAAACAUAAGCAUAUCAAUAUGCUACAUUGUACAACAAACAUACCACAUAGCCAUAUCCAUAUGAUACCAGAAAGAGUGGAUGAAUACAAAAAUACAAACUAAACAAUUACAGGAAACUAGAGGAUAGAAUGUCUAAAGUGCUGGUAUAUGGGAGUUGUUCGGCUACUAAAAGGUAGAAAAGCCCCAUUACUCCAGCGUGUUCCUUGGUGUUAUUGUAGAUAGAUUCUAGAGUUAAAGUUUCACCAUCGAUUAUCUUGACAGAACCUGGUUGAGGAUAACAAGUGGACAUUCCUACAAUGUGCCCUACUUCAUUUCCUGCUUCAUUCCCAUUUCCAUAAAUUGGUAUAGAUGAACAUAUAACCCUCCCGUCCUGAAAACAUAAUCCACAAAUUUCACAAAACAAGCUACUGCACAAUGUUUAACUACUUGAUCAAAGGUAAAAGUACUAGAAAACAACCCUGGUACAAAAGUAAACAUUCGAAAAACGACCAAGUAUUGAAGUUACAAACUCAAAGUCUUACCACUACCAAAUAUUUAAGAAUGACAAUAAGUUGUAACUAUUGCAAAUUACCUGUCCAUAUAGAGUUGAUCCAAUUCCGCCCGAAUGUUGAUGAGCAACCCCAUAGAUCACAUAGCCACCUGUUUGAAAUGGGAGAUUUGUCCUCUUUACAUGAACACAACCAUUUUCCUCCUUGUGGUCUGUACUGCAUGAUUCUACUUGAUACUCAACCUGAAACCAAAAAAAAUUCCAUGUUGCUUACUAUAAAACCCAACAAAGUAGAGUUUUAGAGUUAAAUAGAGAUUUAGACAAACAAACUACAUAUAUAGUUGAGAGACUCGACAUUCACACAAUCAGUACACCGGUAGCCGUUGGAUUGAGAUUGGACCAUCAUAGAUUCCAAGUGCGGUAUUUUGGAUUUUCAAACAAUCAAAAUCAUAUAUUUUGGGAAAUGUCCGAUUUUUAACCAACAGUCACUGGUGCAUUGAAUACGUGAAAGCAGGGUAUCCCAACUACACUGAACCCAUUUCAACUAACCAAAUGUUUCUUGAUAAAUUCAUUUACCUUGCAAUUAUGAUCUGAGUUCGUUCCUUUUGAAUCAUCUGAUAGUUUCAAAGUAUCAGUCACAUCAAGUACAUAUAUCUUAACAGGCACUAUAUAAUCAUCCCAAUCAAUCCAUUUCACUUUGUAUCUUAAGUAGAGGCUUCUCUUUGGACCCUCAAAACCUUCCUUCAGCUUGCACUGUGUAUUAUCAUAACAACAUAACAAACCUCCUUUAUAAUCUGGUCUAAUAGACCUUCCAGAUUCAUCGAUUGUAACAUUAUAAAGGUCACACUUACACUCGGUGCACCCUGAUUUAUCCUCUGCGCCGCGAUUAUCAAUAGCAUGAAUAUUAACCAGCCAUUUCUCCUCAAACUCUUCUGGAAUCUCUGCAGGAUUACCUAUCUCUAUUCCAAAAGGAUCCGGAAUAUCAGUCGCCGUUCGUCGUGUUUCGGAUCCAAGGCCAAAGUAUUGUGCAUAAAUAGUUCCCUGACACAUGCCACUGUUCCUAAAAGUAUUUUUCAAAUGCGAGUUUGCUUUACUUUGAUGAUAUCUUACAACAACCCAAUGAUGGAGAUAAGUUUCAUGGAGAGGUAUAGGAUUACCAGCUUCAUCAACUACUUCAGCAUCGAAACUCUUGAUUGCUACAUGACCUCUUGGAAAAUCAAUAUCAUAAUAAAAUCUAUUAACAACUGAUCCAGGUCCUAGCUCAAAUUUGGGGGAUAAGAAAACAGCUGAUUUUAUCUUAGCUUUAGUCUUCAGAAUAGAACCUGAGCAAGAUGUGCUCAACAACAGAAGAAGUAUUGAAAGUGAAAAUACAAAAUUUCCAGACAUAGAACACAUGUUGAUCUUAGCAAAAUCUUGCAUGAUAGUCCUCCCUGGAAGCCUUUAAAAAAGUGAAUUAAACUACAAAAUAAACAAAACAGAUAAUAUAUGGCAGAUCAUAUCACCAAAUAAACUAACUACACAAAUAAGCAUGAAAAAGACAUAGUUUGAACAAAAUCAUCAUCAUCAAGAUUUUAAAUUAGUCACAUGGCAACUUAUAAAUACAGUUGAAGUUGAUUCAGCUUCAAUUGCAAUCACAACUAGUCAUCAAAAUUUUGAUGUUGUGACUACAAUUGUUGUCACAGAACAUAACAUUUUUAAAACAUAAACUUAUGAUCAAGCAACUUUGUUUUAUAUUAAAAAAAAAAGUAUAAUUAGCAAUAUUAGAUAGUGAUUAUAGAAACUAAUGACCAAAAAGGAUUAGAGUAUAUGAUCAAGAAUAGAUAGAUGAGAUUGCAUACCUCAAGAAAGUCUGGAAAAUGACAGAGUCUGGAAAUUUAGAGUGUGUCGGUAUUAAAUAGUAGAUAAGAUAAUGAAUGAGUGAAUGAAUGCAAGUGUAGAGAUUGUAAUUCAAUAUUUUAAAUUAUCUUUUCUUUCCUUUUUGGGACACGCAGCCCCUAAAUAUAUUUAGCCGACUAAAUUAAUAUAUUUAAAUAGCUUAAGCAUUUUAUUAAAAAUAAAUGGUAUAAUCAACUUCUGAUAAUGUCUAAUUUUUUUUUUUAAGUAAAAAUGGAAAGCAUGACAUCAUAGUAAGUCAUCGACAUCCCAACUAUAUUGACACCUCAGUGCACUAUCACUCCUCUAUUAUCUCACCAAAAAUAUACUUCAUAAUUUGUCUUAUCCUUUUAACAAUUACUAGUAAUUAUUCAUUGACAAUGAUAUGUUGGUGCUCCCAUCCCACCUCUAAAAAAAAUUUCUCCAUCUUCAAAAAUAUAUAAGAAAAUGAUAAAGAAAAUGAGUGGCUGAUAAGCUCUAUAUUAUUCUAAAUACUAAAUUUAUCCGUUGAAAUUUUUUAAAUUCAGAACUACUUCACAAAGUGAUAUCUUACGUAUUUUCUAUAUAGGAGCAUAAGUGUCUUCACAAAAUACUAAUUCCUUUAGUUCAAUUUUUCUACCCAACCAAACAAGCAAAGAGAACACUUAUCUUUUCUUACCCAGUUUCUCUUUUCUCGAAUACAUAGGUGUUAUUCAAAAAUCUAAAAAAAUGUGACAAAAUUAUACUAGGAGUUAUUUAUCUUUAUUAUUGAUUUUUAUUGCGAAGUUGUAGUGCACCAUUCUUAUCGUGGAGCAAACUUUUGUGCGGAUACAUUGACAAAUUACGAGUGUUUAUUGGAUAAAAAGAUGAAAUUUUAAGAGUCAUAUCCGGUGAAUUUUAGUCAUUUGUUAAUUACUAAUGUAAUUGGGAGAAUUUCUUCCGCUAUAUUAAUCUUGUGUAAUCUUUUUUCUCUUUUCUCGAAUACAUAGGUGUUAUUCAAAAAUCUAAAAAAAUGUGACAAAAUUAUCCUAGGAGUUAUUUAUCUUUAUCUUCUUUUUUCCCCAAAUUGAUCACUUAUCUUUAUAAAUGUGCACAACUAAAUCUUUUAUCAUAUUUGUUUGUAACAUAUUCAUCAAUUAUUUUAUUUAUUUAUAACAUAUUCAUCCUUUAUCUUAUUUUUUAUCUCACACGUGUCAUUUAUCUUUAUAAAUGUGUACGAAUAUUUCAAAGGGAUGGGCUGCAAUAUUUCAAUGUUUGGUCGCGAGGUAAGGAAAGUUUGACAAAAAAUUUAUUCCCACCAAAUAUCGAACUCAGGUUCUCCCGAACAAUUCAUCCUUAAGGGAGCUAAUUUACUCUAUAUUAUCCAAUAAACAUGGAUGUUCUUGCGAGUAUAUUUGGAAAGACACUAAAUGUUGGAUUUUAAAUGUUAGUGGUUCAGUCGAAUGUUGGAUAUAAAAUGUUGCGAGUAUAUCAGAACUGUGGUUCAAUAGUGUUUAUAAAAUUUGGACACCACUCUCUUACAAGCCGAUUUUAUAAGAUCGAAUUAAACUAACUCAAAUUCUAACCAAACCCUUUGAUUGAUUGUUACUAUGUCUGCACAAGAUCUGUUAUUCUUUUGUAUUGCCUUAAUCUCAUGACUUGUGUAUAUCUAUCUUUCUGAUUUAAGGGGCUAUAAAAUAUUUAUUCCAGGAUCCUGUUUGUUACACUACACUGUAAGAUUGUUUCAGAUGCUAAAUUAGCGUUUCAGAUCAGAGAUUAGUUCUAUAACAAUGUGUUAACCUAUUACUAUCACUUUCUACCCUUGAGGCCUUGACAAAUGAGUUUGUUCUGACUAUUGAAACGAGAGAGACGAACAUGGACAAAAACUAACCUAAUUGAAAUGCAAUGGUGACAACUGAGNNNNNNNNNNNNNNNNNNNNNNNNNNNNNNNNNNNNNNNNNNNNNNNNNNNNNNNNNNNNNNNNNNNNNNNNNNNNNNNNNNNNNNNNNNNNNNNNNNNNNNNNAUAUCUAUAUCCAUAUAUGAUACUUAUCACAUAGCCAUAUAACAUAUUCAUAUAUGAUACAAGAAAGAGUGGAUGAAUCCAAAAAUACAAACUGUAUAUCACUAAAACUAGAGAAUAUGCUCACCUCUUGUUUUUCUCCUAUAGCUAGCUACAUACAAAGAGAAAAAAGUGUAAUUAUCCAAUUACACUUUCCAAUCUUGUCUUUAUUCCUCUCAAGUCUUAACCAACCAUAUGGUAAUUUAAUAUCAUGUCACUCCGCUUAUAUUACCAUUUAUUUACAUCCAUAAAAAAUGAAGAACGAGUAGAAUGUCUAAAGUGUUGGUAUGGGAGUUGUUCUGCUACUAAAAGGUAGAAAAGCCCCAUUACUCCAGAGUGUUCCUUGGUGUUAUUGUAGAUAGAUUCUAGAGUUAAAGUUUCACCAUCGAUUAUCUUGACAGAACCUGGUUGAGGAUAACAGGUGGACAUUCCUACAAUGUACCCUACUUCAUUUCCUGCUUCAUUCCCAUUUCCAUAAGUUGGUAUAGAUGAACAUAUAACCCUACCGUCCUGAAAACAUAAUUCACAAAUUUCACAAAACAAGCUACUGCACAAUGUUUAACUUCUUGAUCAAAAGUAAAAGUACUAGAAAACAACCCUGGUACAAGAGUAAACAGAUACGAAAAACGACCAAGUAUUGAAGUUUCAAAGUCAAAGUCUUACCACUAUCAAGUAUUUAAGAAUGACUAUAAGUUAUAAAUAUUGCAAAUUACCUGUCCAUAUAGAGUCGAUCCAAUUCCACCUGAAUGUUGAUGAGCAACAGCAUAUAUCACAUAGCCACCAGUUUGUAAUGGGAGAUUUGUCCUCUUUACAUGAACACAACCAUUUUCCUCCUUGUUGUUUGUACUGCAAGAUUCUACUUGAUACUCAUUCUGAAACCCAAAAAAAAACCAUGUUGCUCACUAUAUAAUACCCAACAAAGUAAUGGACUAGUGUUAUGUUUUAGAGUUAAAUUCAGAUUUAGACAAACAAACUACAUAUAUAAUUCCCUAUAAUUUAGAUACUCUACAUUCACACAAUCAGCAGACCAGUAACCGUAUUGGAUGAUCAAAGAUUCAAAGCGCGGUAUUUUGGAUUUUAAAACAAUCAAAAUCUAUAUAUUUUGUGAAUUGUCCGAUUUUUAUCCAACAGUACUGGUGCAUUGACUACGUGAAAGCGGUGUAUCCCAACUACACAUAACCCAUUUCAACAAACCAAAUGUUUCUUGAUGAACUCAUUUACCUUGCAAUUAUGAUCUGAGUUUGUUCCUUUUGAACCAUCUGAUAGUUUCAAAGUAUCACUCACAUCAAAUAUAUAUAUCUUAACAGGCACUAUAUAAUCAUCCCAAUCAAUCCAUUUCACUGUGUAUCUUAAGUAGAGGCUUCUCUUUGGACCCUCAAAACCUUCCUUCAGCUUGCACUGUGUAUAAUCAUAACAACAUAACAAACCUCCUUUAUAAUCUGGCCUAAUAGACCUUNNNNNNNNNNNNNNNNNNNNNNNNNNNNNNNNNNNNNNNNNNNNNNNNNNNNNNNNNNNNNNNNNNAUCUGGCCUAAUAGACCUUCCAUAUGAAUCCACCGUAACAUUAUAAAGGUCACACUUACACUCAGUACACCCUGAUUUAUCCUCUGCGCCACGCGUAUCAAUAGCAUGAAUAUUAACCAUCCAUUUCUCCUCAAACCCUUCCGGAAUCUCUGCAGGAUUACCUAUCUCAAUUCCAAAAGGAUCCGGAAUAUCAGUCGCUGUUCCUCGUGUUUCGGAUCCAAGGCCAAAGUACUGUCCAAGAGUAUCUCCCUGACAUAUGCCACUGUUCCUAACAUGAACUCUAUCAGAGUAUUUACUUUGAUGAUAUCUUACAACAAGCCAAUGAUGGAGAUAAGUUUCAUGGAGAGGUACAGGAAUACCAGCUUCAUCAACAACUUCAGCAUUGAAACUCUUGAGUGCUAUAUGACCUCUUGGAAAGUCAAUAUCAUAAUAAAAUCUAUUGCUAACUAAUCCAGGUCCUAGCUCAAAUUUAGGGGACAAAAAAACAGCUGAUUUUAUCUUAGCUUCAGUCUUCAGAAUAGAACCUGAGCAUGAUGUGCUCAACAACAGAAGAAGUAUUGCAAGUGAAAAUACAAAAUUUCCAGACAUAGAAGUGGAACACAUGUUGAUCUGUUAGCAAAAUCUUUAUUAGUAAUUAUUAUUAAUAAAACAUUAAAGAGCCGAUUGUGCUCAUAAAAUUCAUUGACAUGUAAAGUACAAUAGAAUUAUUAUGCAAUUAAAUGAGUAUAAUGAUCAAAAGAUAAAUCUUGCAAAAAAGUCCUCUUAGGAAGCCUUUAAAGAAUUGAAGUAAGCCAAAGAAUAAACAAGAUGUACAAAAUUACUAACUACACAAAUAAGCAUGAAAAAGACAUAGUUUGAACAGACUGACUACAAUUGUGGUGACAGAAGAACAGAACACUUUAAAAACAUUAAUUAUUAUAUGACAUAACUUGUGACCAAACAAACUUGUUUUAUAUAAACGAAGUUUUUUUUUUUGGUCAAGUAGCCUGGUGGCUAGAAAAUCCACUUUAAAGGUGAAUAAGUGGAGUGCUCAGGUUCGAACCCAGGCUCCUGCACAUAUAGUGCGAUGUCCCUAUCAACUGAGUUAAGUUCACGAGCACAUACAAAGUUAUAAUUAGCAAUAUUAGAUGGAGAUUAUAGAAACUAAUGACCAAACAAAAAGGAUGGAGUAUUGUGCAAGUAUAUGAUCAAGACUCAAGAAUAGAUAAAUGAAAGUAAAAAGUAGUACUAAUAUAGAACUUAACACCAAACUGAGACAUGUAAAAAGUGAAGAAAAAUUGAAGGAACAGAAGCAAUAGGCAACAAGAGGAUGGAGAAGAGAUUGUAUAC